GUGCAGCAGGCGAGAAAACUUCACACUGUGCGAAAGCACGAUGAGGGAAUCCCAAGUGCUUGCACGUAAGUGUAAGCUGUUUCUCUGUCUAAAACGCAGAGAGAGUAAGGGCUGGGUAAGACGGGUGCCAGCCGCCGCGGUAAUACCUGCAGCUCAAGUGGUGACCGUUAUUAUUGGGCCUAAAACGUCCGUAGCCGGUUUAAUAAAUGCCUGGGUAAAUUGUGUAGCUUAACUAUACGAAUUCCGGGUAGACUGUUAAACUUGAGACCGGGAGAAGUUAGAGGUACUCCUGGGGUAGAGGUGAAAAUUCUGUAAUCCUAGGGGGACCACCAGUGGCGAAGGCGUCUAACUAGAACGGGUCUGGACGGUGAGGGACGAAGCCCUGGGGCGCAAACGGGAUUAGAUA
Molecule: ribosomal RNA, 406 nt
Filed under: uncultured microorganism
Description: bacterial SSU rRNA
Rfam family: Archaeal small subunit ribosomal RNA
Source: RNAcentral